UUAAGGGUUCGAAGACGAUCAGAUACCGUCGUAGUCUUAACUAUAAAUGAUACUGACCAGGGAUAGGAUACUGUCCAUCUCGACUCUUCCCGAACCUUAGAGAAAUCAGAGUCUUUGAGUUCUGGGGGGAGUAUGGUCGCAAGGCUGAAACUUAAAGGAAUUGACGGAAGGGCACACAAAGAGUGGAACCUGCGGCUUAAUUUGACUCAACACGGGAAAACUCACCAGGUCCAGAUACACGUAUGAAAGACAAGCUGAAAGACUUUUCUCAAUGAUGUAAGUGGUGGUGCAUGGUCGUUCUUAGUUCGUGGAGUGGUUUGUCUGGUCUAUUCCGAUAACGAGCGAG
This 346-nucleotide ribosomal RNA is filed under the name Polyschismium peyerimhoffii. Its description in RNAcentral is "SSU rRNA". It matches the Rfam family "Eukaryotic small subunit ribosomal RNA", at positions 990 to 1339 of the family's 1831-position model. Lineage: Eukaryota; Evosea; Eumycetozoa; Physariida; Didymiaceae. The record is from RNAcentral.